RNAcentral lists this ribosomal RNA (1365 nucleotides) under uncultured crenarchaeote. RNAcentral's name for it is "16S ribosomal RNA". It matches the Rfam family "Archaeal small subunit ribosomal RNA". Lineage: Archaea; Thermoproteati; Thermoproteota. The record is from RNAcentral.
UGCCCAGGGGACGUGGAUAACCUCGGGAAACUGAGGAUAAACCGCGAUAAGUCACUACUUCUGGAAUGGGUAAUGACUUAAAUCUAUAUGGCCCCUGGAUUGGACUGCGGCCGAUCAGGCUGUUGGUGAGGUAAUGGCCCACCAAACCUGUAACCGGUACGGGCUCUGAGAGGAGGAGCCCGGAGAUGGGCACUGAGACAAGGGCCCAGGCCCUAUGGGGCGCAGCAGGCGCGAAACCUCUGCAAUAGGCGAAAGCCUGACAGGGUUACUCUGAGUGAUUUCCGUUAAGGAGAUCUUUUGGCACCUCUAAAAAUGGUGCAGAAUAAGGGGUGGGCAAGUCUGGUGUCAGCCGCCGCGGUAAUACCAGCACCCCGAGUGGUCGGGACGUUUAUUGGGCCUAAAGCAUCCGUAGCCGGUUCUGCAAGUCUUCCGUUAAAUCCACCUGCUUAACAGAUGGGCCGCGGAAGAUACUAUAGAGCUAGGAGGCGGGAGAGGCAAGCGGUACUCGAUGGGUAGGGGUAAAAUCCGUUGAUCCAUUGAAGACCACCAGUGGCGAAGGCGGCUUGCCAGAACGCGCUCGACGGUGAGGGAUGAAAGCUGGGGGAGCAAACCGGAUUAGAUACCCGGGUAGUCCCAGCUGUAAACGAUGCAGACUCGGUGAUGAAUUGGCUUCAUGCCAAUUCAGUGCCGCAGGGAAGCCGUUAAGUUUGCCGCCUGGGGAGUACGGUCGCAAGACUGAAACUUAAAGGAAUUGGCGGGGGAGCUCCACAAGGGGUGAAGCCUGCGGUUCAAUUGGAGUCAACGCCGGAAAUCUUACCGGGGGCGACAGCAGAAUGAAGGUCAAGCUGAAGACUUUACCAGACAAGCUGAGAGGAGGUGCAUGGCCGUCGCCAGCUCGUGCCGUGAGGUGUCCUGUUAAGUCAGGUAACGAGCGAGACCCCUGCCUCUAGUUGCUACCAUUAUUCUCAGGAGUAGUGGAGCUAAUUGGAGGGACUGCCGUCGCUGAGACGGAGGAAGGAGGGGGCUACGGCAGGUCAGUAUGCCCCGAAACCCUCGGGCCACACGCGGGCUGCAAUGGUAAGGACAAUGAGUAUCGAUUCCGAAAGGAGGAGGCAAUCUCUAAACCUUACCACAGUUAUGAUUGAGGGCUGAAACUCGCCCUCAUGAAUAUGGAAUCCCUAGUAACCGCGUGUCACUAUCGCGCGGUGAAUACGUCCCUGCUCCUUGCACACACCGCCCGUCGCUUCAUCGAAGUUGGUUCUUGGCGAGGUGAUGCCUAAUUGGUACUAUCGAACCUGGGGUCAGCAACGAGGGAGAAGUCGUAACAAGGUGGCCGUAGGGGAACCUGCGGCCGGAUCACCUCCU